GGCACUAUUUGCCAGGGCUGUCUUCGAACCGCAUUCCUCCUGAUCUCUGCCUUCUGAGUAGCUAGUAUCUAGGAUUACAGGCUUGAGCCACCUGCACCCGGUCUUCAGACCUUCUGAAGUCUGUCUGUGAGCCCUUUGGGAGAUGGUGAAACCAUGUAAAGAACACCUGUCUAGUGGAAUAUGGCCAAGCUGAGUCUUACAUCAGGAGCUAAGGAGGCAAGUCUGAGUAGAGCCAUGAUGGGAGAGACUCCCCGGGACCAGGGACUGUGUGAGCAAAGACACACAGUAGGAGUCAUCUUGGCAUCUUCAGAGAAAUGGACACAGUUUCAUCACUAAUUGCUAGUGUUUUGUAUUAUUAUUUGCAGUACUGAUGAAUUGUGAUUUUGUUUCAUUCUAUUUAUCAUGUGUCUGUGGAUUAUCCAUAGCCUCUGUUCCCUUGGAGGUGUUAACUUUGAGGCAAGUGUCAUCCUUUUUCAGGUUUCACAACAUAGGAAUUACAUCAGAGGAAAGAUGGAUUCCAAUUCUGGUUUUAACAUUAUUUACCACAGGGGAAAAUAUCUAUUCAUUUAUGCACACAUUCCAUCAAUGAUUGCGAACACCUACUAUGUGCCGGCCUAGUCUAGACACCAUGGGUACCAAGACAAAUAUGUCAGUGAGUUUAUCUUCAGGGAGUUUGCCAUCUAAUUUGGGAGAUCACACUUGAAUGUAAAUAGCUUCCAGAGCAUCUGGCAAUGAGUUAAUGCUUGAAAACCUCUUAUCCCAAUACUUACUACCUAGAAAACCACUCAGUGAGUGGUAUUUUAAGUUCUAUUAGGUUCCUAGGAGAAAAACUACAUGUCUUUCUGGAGAGCUUUAGAGCUCUCUUCCUAACAGAGUUGACUUUUCCUUUGUGAGCCUCCCUUUCCAAAUUCAGGAUUCAUACUAAAUUUGCAGUGUUCUCAAAGGAUCUUUCUAUAUCACUCUACCAUUGUGUAAAUGUGUGCUAUGGUGUAGGAUGUAAGUGCUGGUGCAUAGUAAAGGGUUAAUUCUUAGAUCUGGGUUGCCAAAGUCACACACAUUCUGGGGUAUUCAGAACUGAUCUGGGACCAGCUCCUAGGAGAUAACUUCUAAGACCUUGGAAUAACCUGCCUGAUAAGAGUGUCUUUGGAAACCUGAGGCCUUGGGCUAUACCAGAUAUUUUAUGCUAGUAAUGUGACUUACAUUGAAUGCCUCAUUUUGUAUGUCUAGGGCUGUAUCAAUUCGGCCUCUACAGAAACUACAGUCUGAGUAGUUGUGUGUGUGUCCAAGUAGAUCUGUGACUGCCUCCCCACCCCCACACCAAGGACAAACUCUGCACACUACAUCUUGGGGAAUCAUCAAACUUGAUGCUAUCUUGGGGAGUUUCAAUACAGAGGAUGUGAGUUCACUAUCCCCAAAUGGAUAUCAUCUGCCUCCUGUGAUCCUGAGUAAUUCCCAGGCAUGAAGGGGACAGGUUUUCCAGAUGUAUGUGGGGAACAGCACUACCAGGUGACUUAAUGCUGUUCUGCUAGGUCUCAACUGCAUUGUCAGCAUCUCUGUCUAAGUACACCCUCAGUAGAGCAAGCAAAGAAACAGGACCCAAGUCACUUUCUCCUGGAGAGUAUGGGAACUCUCCAGAGUUGAGUACCCUACCUGGAAUCCGAUAAGAAGCCCCUUGAUUACCCAUCAUGCAUUGUGCAGAUGUCAGAGGUGGUGCACUGUCUAUUGCAAAAAAAGAGGUACCAGUAUGACCACCAAUCCUCACAAAUUUUGAAUGCUCAGUCUUGAGAAUGAGCCAGGAGGCUAUACUCAAAGAACACAGCAAGCUGAGGUUGACUCAGGCUCACAUUAAUAUGUAAAUGCGAUUCAAAGGAGCCAGCAGCCAUGCAGUGUUGUCCUGGUUCUGCCAAUGGAUGUGCUGUAGAAACUCAAGUAGACCUUUAACUACUUCCUCAUUUUUAAGUGAAUUUAAGUGAAUUUGUGUUAAAUCAUCAGAUCUCAAAGAUCUCCACCAAAUACCAAGCCCUAGGAGUUCCCCAAGGACUGUGCAAGUAAAGCAGUCUCUCAGAUAGUGAUUAAUUGAACCAGUACCUAUAGGAUUAAAGACAAGAACUAUGUGCUUUUAAUUAUCCAACCCCAUUGGAGAAGAAGCCUGCAUCUCAUAUUUCACUCAGAAUUAAAACUAAAGCUCCCUUGGUAAGACAGAGCUUGAGAAGGCAGCACCCAGUAGUCACAUCAUAGCACUGUUCUAGGAAGCCUGCAUCGCUGACACCCUGAGACUAUGUCUUAGACAAUAUUGGAUUGUACAGAGCAUGGAAUAGUGGAAAAUGGCAUGGGGGGAUGGGAGAGAAGCACUGGUUAAUGGCAGCAGUUAUGGCUAAGAUCAUUUACAGUCUAUGAGAUAAUUUACAUACUAAUGCAGAUCUGUGAUGGUUUUCAUUCAUUGGAAUUUUAACUGGCAUUCAGUUCAUAGCUUUUUACAAAUGCAAAACAAUCUAUCAGUACACCAAAAGCCUCCACAGCAAGGAGGCUAGGAUGUUGGCAGCACAAAACAAAACUAGAGGGAAGUGGCACUGCAGAGUUCUAUGGAAGACCUGAGAAGCUGCAGGGCCACUUUUGGAAAGGGAGGAUGUCCACUGGUCAAUGCAUGCAUGUAAAUUACCUGAACAUAGUUGCAAGUCAAAUAGGCAUUCGAAUAUAAGCAUCAAAAGUACUUUUCCAAUGAGUAGGAUACAGAUGCAGUUGUCCAUGGGUAAUAUUCUAAGUUAGCAUUCCUAAAUAAUAUGCCUGAUUCAGAACAGGGUCACAGACAAUGGUGGAGAAAUAAGGCUCUGAGGAGGGGACCUGACAAGAUUUAUGUAGGCAAGAUGUUAAUAAUCCUACCAUGUACAAAAGGGCUCCAAUUCCAACAAGUAAUUAGGGUCAAAGUCAAGGACCCUAGACGUAGCAAAUAGAUCAAAUGGAGCAUGACUUAUGUGCAGGAUGGCUUGUAAGUUAGGCUCACAACACCAAGGUAAUUGUUGCUGAUCCUACUAAUACCUGCCUUCCACAAUGGGUGCAGGUACAUAGACCAGAGGAAGAAUAAAGGGGUGCGUGAGCUGAUGGUAGAGGAGAAGGGAAGUCAGGAAUUAUGAUCAGAGCACAUUGUAUAUAUGUAUGAAAAUGUCAUAAUGAAGCCCAGUAUUUUAUAGGUUUAUAUACACUAAUAAGAAGCUCCUGGAAAAAAAGAAGGUAAUCGUUCACUUCCCAUUCCACUCCACUUUAAGUACAGAAAUCUCAUUAACUCUCAUGCUGACAGUGUCCCUACAUCUGUAGAGUCUUACGGAUAUAUGAGAGCUAGUCCACUGUAAAAAUGCAAGUGCUUCACAUGCACAGGAAAUUAAUGUGAGUCAACUCCCUGUAUAGCUAUCCUUAUCUCAACUAGUAAAAACCCUUGUUCCUUCUAUUAUUGCUUAU
Castor canadensis (American beaver) is the source of this 3453-nucleotide non-coding RNA. The record is from RefSeq and is a predicted model, not a curated record. Lineage: Eukaryota; Metazoa; Chordata; Mammalia; Rodentia; Castoridae.